CCACCCUCCACCCCUCCAUCCUACACACCCAAAACCCCUUCGUCCUCCCCCACCCUCUACCCCUCCAUCCCCUCCACCACUCUUUCUUUGGAUAUAUAAAGCCUACCCAUCUCUCACAUUUUUCCACAUUUGAGACAUACACAAACAUAUUUUCCUUUGCAUUUUGGACACUUUCUCUGUGAUUUUCUCGAAAGCCAAACGUUCUCAACGAUGGCCGAUCAGCUCACCGACGAUAAAAUCUCCGAGUUCAAGGAGGCGUUCAGCCUAUUCGACAAGGAUGGCGAUGGCCUCGUUCUUAGAUCCCUCUCUCUCUCUCUCUCUCUCUCUCUCUCUCUCUCUCUCUCUCUCUCUUUCCCUUUUGUUCUUAUUUUGCCCACUUAAUCUAUGAUAUUUGGAUCUAAAGCUGUUAUUGCAUCAAACCUUAACCUUUUUCUGGUGAAAAAUUGUGAUUGAUUGAGUAUUGUUAGAGAUUGAAUUGAUUUAUCAUCCUCCGAGUGCGUUUUGAUCAUUGAGGAUAAGAUCUGUUAGAUUUGAGGUUAAAUGUGUGGAAUUUAAAUAUAUGGAUAGAUUAUGAUUCUCAUAUUCGUUUCCUCCAUUGUUUGGAUUAUCCAAUUUUUGGUAAAAGUGGGUCUUUGAUUCAAUUUCUCUGUUAUGGUUUUGGAGUUGCAGAAUUAAUUAUUCUUGUAUUGGGAUGGAGGGGUAGAGCCGUGGAGCCGUGGAGGGGGUGGAGGGGUCUUUGAUUCAAUUUCUCUGUUAUGGUUUUGGAGCUGCACAAUUUGUUCUCUUUGCAAUUUGAAUACCCAUAAAAGUGGGUCUUUGAUUCAAUUUCAUGCAUCAGGACACCAUGUCGAGUCCAGGAAAGUUGAGAAGAAAGGUGUUGGGUCUGCUGCUGGGUUGGUUGUGAAAGUUGCAUUCACCCAGCAGAAUUGCACAGCAUCAAGACAAUCUAAAUCAAGUGGGUUCUACGGGAUGGAAGAAAUCACAAAAGCUUUUGCCGUGGUGGAGCAAACGGCAGAAGGCAGUGAUGUAGGACAAGCCAAGGGUUCUCGGGAAGACAAGAAUGGAUGACCUGGGAAUCACUCAAUCAGGGACAACGGAGCUCGCUCAUGUCGCUAAUCGUGAAUUCGCUCACACCACCAAGUCAAAUGCUUGAUUUUAGAAGGAGAAAUCACUCUCUUCAAAUGCACAAGGCAAAUACAAUUUUAAUUCAUUCAAGUCUGCCCAUUCAAGGCUUUCUAGUACAA
Malus domestica (apple) is the source of this 1244-nucleotide long non-coding RNA. RefSeq lists it as uncharacterized. The record is from RefSeq and is a predicted model, not a curated record. NCBI's taxonomy places the organism in Eukaryota, Viridiplantae, Streptophyta, Magnoliopsida, Rosales, Rosaceae.